This 492-nucleotide ribosomal RNA is filed under the name uncultured bacterium. Its description in RNAcentral is "partial 16S ribosomal RNA". It matches the Rfam family "Bacterial small subunit ribosomal RNA", at positions 29 to 507 of the family's 1533-position model. The record is from RNAcentral.
AGUGAACGCUGGCGGUAGGCCUAACACAUGCAAGUCGAACGGCAGCACAGUAAGAGCUUGCUCUUACGGGUGGCGAGUGGCGGACGGGUGAGGAAUACAUCGGAAUCUACUUUUUCGUGGGGGAUAACGUAGGGAAACUUACGCUAAUACCGCAUACGACCUACGGGUGAAAGCAGGGGAUCUUCGGACCUUGCGCGAUUGAAUGAGCCGAUGUCGGAUUAGCUAGUUGGCGGGGUAAAGGCCCACCAAGGCGACGAUCCGUAGCUGGCCUGAGAGGAUGAUCAGCCACACUGGAACUGAGACACGGUCCAGACUCCUACGGGAGGCAGCAGUGGGGAAUAUUGGACAAUGUGCGCAAGCCUGAUCCAGCCAUACCGCGUGGGUGAAGAAGGCCUUCGGGUUGUAAAGCCCUUUUGUUGGGAAAGAAAAGCAGCAGGUUAAUACCCCGCUGUUCUGACGGUACCCAAAGAAUAAGCACCGGCUAACUUCGUG